RNAcentral lists this ribosomal RNA (251 nucleotides) under uncultured prokaryote. Its description in RNAcentral is "partial 16S rRNA". It matches the Rfam family "Bacterial small subunit ribosomal RNA", at positions 525 to 775 of the family's 1533-position model. The record is from RNAcentral.
ACGGGGGGUGCAAGCGUUGUUCGGAAUUAUUGGGCGUAAAGCGCGUGUAGGCGGUUUGUUAAGUCUGAUGUGAAAGCCCCGGGCUCAACCUGGGAAGUGCAUUGGAAACUGGCAGACUUGAAUACGGGAGAGGGUAGUGGAAUUCCUGGUGUAGGGGUGAAAUCCGUAGAUAUCGGGAGGAACACCGAUGGCGAAGGCGGCUGACUGGACCGAUAUUGACGCUGAGGCGCGAAAGCUUGGGGAUCAAACAG